GAUGAACGCUGGCGGCGUGCCUAAUACAUGCAAGUCGAGCGAACAGACGAGGAGCUUGCUCCUCUGACGUUAGCGGCGGACGGGUGAGUAACGCGUGGAUAACCUACCUAUAAGACUGGGAUAACUUCGGGAAACCGGAGCUAAUACCGGAUAAUAUAUUGAACCGCAUGGUUCAAUAGUGAAGGACGGUUUUGCUGUCACUUAUAGAUGGAUCCGCGCCGCAUUAGCUAGUUGGUAAGGUAACGGCUUACCAAGGCAACGAUGCGUAGCCGACCUGAGAGGGUGAUCGGCCACACUGGAACUGAGACACGGUCCAGACUCCUACGGGAGGCAGCAGUAGGGAAUCUUCCGCAAUGGGCGAAAGCCUGACGGAGCAACGCCGCGUGAGUGAUGAAGGUCUUCGGAUCGUAAAACUCUGUUAUUAGGGAAGAACAAAUGUGUAAGUAACUAUGCACGUCUUGACGGUACCUAAUCAGAAAGCCACGGCUAACUACGUG
RNAcentral lists this ribosomal RNA (497 nucleotides) under uncultured bacterium. RNAcentral describes it as "partial 16S ribosomal RNA". It matches the Rfam family "Bacterial small subunit ribosomal RNA", at positions 28 to 507 of the family's 1533-position model. The record is from RNAcentral.